This 295-nucleotide ribosomal RNA is filed under the name uncultured soil bacterium. RNAcentral's name for it is "partial 16S ribosomal RNA". It matches the Rfam family "Bacterial small subunit ribosomal RNA", at positions 26 to 312 of the family's 1533-position model. The record is from RNAcentral.
AGGACGAACGCUGGCGGCGUGCUUAAUACAUGCAAGUCGAGGGACGAAACCGGAGUGGGUAACCACUCUGGCUGAAACCGGCGAACGGGUGAGUAACACGUGGGCAACGUGCCCCAGACUCAGGAACAACAACGGGAAACCGUUGCUAAUGCCUGAUAACCCCUGCGCACCGCAUGGCGUGCAGGGCAAAGCUCCGGCGGUCUGGGAUCGGCCCGCGUCCUAUCAGCUUGUUGGUGGGGUAAUGGCCUACCGAAGGCGAUGACGGUAGCUGGCGUGAGAGCGCGACCACGCCACA